RNAcentral lists this small nuclear RNA (57 nucleotides) under Astyanax mexicanus (Mexican tetra). RNAcentral describes it as "U7 small nuclear RNA (ENSAMXG00005006191.1)". It matches the Rfam family "U7 small nuclear RNA". From Rfam's summary of the family: Animal histone pre-mRNAs are spliced by a different mechanism than nuclear pre-mRNAs and self-splicing introns. The record is from RNAcentral. Lineage: Eukaryota; Metazoa; Chordata; Actinopteri; Characiformes; Acestrorhamphidae.
AGGAAAUUUUGCUCUUUUAGUAUUUGUCUAGCAGGUCUUUAGAAACUGAAGGCCCAC